This 480-nucleotide ribosomal RNA is filed under the name Bacillus mojavensis. RNAcentral's name for it is "bacterial SSU rRNA". It matches the Rfam family "Bacterial small subunit ribosomal RNA", at positions 53 to 515 of the family's 1533-position model. Lineage: Bacteria; Bacillati; Bacillota; Bacilli; Caryophanales; Bacillaceae. The record is from RNAcentral.
ACAUGCAAGUCGAGCGGACAGAUGGGAGCUUGCUCCCUGAUGUUAGCGGCGGACGGGUGAGUAACACGUGGGUAACCUGCCUGUAAGACUGGGAUAACUCCGGGAAACCGGGGCUAAUACCGGAUGCUUGUUUGAACCGCAUGGUUCAAACAUAAAAGGUGGCUUCGGCUACCACUUACAGAUGGACCCGCGGCGCAUUAGCUAGUUGGUGAGGUAACGGCUCACCAAGGCAACGAUGCGUAGCCGACCUGAGAGGGUGAUCGGCCACACUGGGACUGAGACACGGCCCAGACUCCUACGGGAGGCAGCAGUAGGGAAUCUUCCGCAAUGGACGAAAGUCUGACGGAGCAACGCCGCGUGAGUGAUGAAGGUUUUCGGAUCGUAAAGCUCUGUUGUUAGGGAAGAACAAGUACCGUUCGAAUAGGGCGGUACCUUGACGGUACCUAACCAGAAAGCCACGGCUAACUACGUGCCAGCAGC